Molecule: unclassified non-coding RNA, 2965 nt
Filed under: Hevea brasiliensis (rubber tree)
Lineage: Eukaryota; Viridiplantae; Streptophyta; Magnoliopsida; Malpighiales; Euphorbiaceae
Source: RNAcentral
GAGGUAGCACUUACUGUAUGGCUUUUUCUAGUACAUGUGGGUGUGGUACGACUACAGAAGCCAAGCCAAAUGAGAAGAAGCCGUGGCACUUUGAUAUAUCAUAAGCUGUCCGGCAAGCUCUCGUCAGCCUUCUAGUUUGCGUUUUAUAUUCUCAUUUCGAGUGAUGAUGGUGAGGAAACCAAACCAAACCAAACCAUCAUCUUAAAAUUUCAAUCUUCAAAUUCAUUUGUUCUGAGAAAAAGAAGAGCGCACUUCUUGGCAUAAAACCAACGUGAAAAAACUGCCAUUUCUAGGCAAAUGGAGUUGUUUUAUCAAAUUCAAACCCACUAACCUCUUCUCAAUCCCACGAGCUUUCUUUCUCUCUCUUUCUUCACUUUCAGUGUCCUCUCUGCAGCUUCAUGGCUAGUUUUCAGGCCUGAUGGUGGAAUGACUGGUAUAGUGGGGUCUAACCUUUAAUGAGCCAAAAGUAUAGAAAAAGAUAGCCCACUAAGGAAAAAGGAGGAAACAAGAGAAACAGUGUUACCGAUCAUUCGCCAUUCACACCCUUCAUUACUUCUUUUGUUUUCAUGUUGGGGUUUUAACGUAUGUUUUGGGGUUCUGCAAGUGGGUCUUGUCUGCCUCCAGAGCUUCGAAUUUGAUGAACUUUAUUUUUUUGUUUGUUUUUCCGAUGAUGAUAAAUCCACUAGUAUUUAUUUGUUUUAGUUGAAAUACCGCUCUUACUGUAUUAUGUACAAGACAUCUUAAAAGGGAUAAGCAAAAAGAGAUUUAAGGAGAACAGAACCCGAAGAAAGAAAAGGGCAAAACAAAAAAUACAAAACCUUGGUCUGUUACUGUGCCUGGUGCAUGCACGUCUGGUCUCUUGAUCAUGACUCGUGAGGGUCUCUUUGCAUGUCGGUUCUGUGAUCUCAGUGAUUCUUGUUGAGGAUUUGAGAGGGAGAUUGCGAGAAAGACGGGGGAAAAGUGUGUCCUUUGGUUUUUCUUUUUCUUCUUCCCUUUGGUUUCUCGCCUGUGCUUAGAAAUGGAGCUUAGAACGCUAUAGCACGAACAGAGAGGGAGGUACUUCAUGGAUCCUAUUGUUGUCUUUCUCAUUUCUGGGUUUAAUAAAGAUGCUGGUUUUAACUGUACUAGCACCACUCUUUUGCCUUUCUUUUUCCUGAUAUAAACCUUCAAACAAGUCACGAGCUCACGAAUUUCUGCCAUAUUUUGGAGCGUGAAGUUUUUCUUGAUUUCAAACCAUGGAGUAAAUGGCUAUUUCUGGUGAAGAUACAUACUUUUCCAGUGGGAAUAUAGUAUUCUGAGUGAUGCUAAGAAAGAGAUCCAGAGUAACAAGUAGUAAGCAAGCUCUAAUGGCGGACUAUAGCGCAAUUCUAUCUCCAACGAAAAAAUAUAAAAAACCCAGUUCUUUUCCAAGGUUGUUCGCAGGCUUGACGUCCUUCAAGAAUUUCUCUGAAACAGCCGAGGCUGUCAUGAGCCCAACUUCAAUUCUCGAUAGCAAACCCUUCUCUGGGCUCAAAAACCCUUUCUUGCCUGACCUCCCCACCCCUAAAACCCCAGACUCGGAGACCCGGCGUACCUGGGACAAGCUGGACUCCAAAGGCAUUGGCCUUGGUAUUAUUGAUGCUCUUAAUGAUGAUAAAACUGACCCCAAUUUGUCAAAACCUGAAAGCAGAAUGGUUCUAUUCGGGUCACAGUUAAAGAUCCAAGUUCCCCCUUUGCCUCCUUCAUUUCAUUCACCAACUGAAUCUCCCAAAUCACCUGCUGAUUUUGGCAUCAAAACAAGGAAUUCUCAAUUGGGUUCUUUCUCUUCUGGGUUCUCUCAUUCUCCAGCUAAGAAAUCAGCAUGCGGUUCAGCCAAUUCGGGUAUGGAUACACCAAACUCACCACGUGUUUUCGCCGGUUGUCUCUCUGCAACUGAGAUGGAGCUCUCUGAGGACUACACUUGUGUGAUCUCAUAUGGACCUAACCCAAGAACUACUCAUAUAUUUGACGAUUGCAUUGUUGAGAGCUGCUGUGGUAUUGUUGAGUUUUCUGAUUCGAGGGCAGAGACUGCUAGGUUUUUGGGCGAUGGAUCAAGUUAUUCAUCAGGGAAUUUCUUAAGCUUCUGUUACGCUUGCAAGAAGAAUCUUGGGCAGGGAAAAGACAUUUACAUGUACAGGUUAGUUCAAGUUUCCCUUUUUUACAUGUUUCCAUUUAUUUUGAUAUUAGUUUCAGUGAAAUUCUGCAAGUUUGGUAACUUUCAAAUCAGAAAUGGAAAUUUAGCUUAAAUUUUGGCUGCUUAAAUGGAUUUUUUUUUUUUCUUUAACCUCUAUUAGCCAAGAUUGUUUGGUAUUGAAAAUAAUGUAAUAUCUUGAUAUCAACAUGUUUUAAUCUAUUUUAUGUUCAUGUUUAGUCUAUAGUUCAAUAGUUUCUCGCAUCAGCUUAGUUAGAUACCGAUGUAUUUAAGCUUUAAUCCAGUAUCUGCUCUCUAUAUAACCGUAGUUCUAUUUCUUUCAUCAUCAGCUGAGUUUGAUGCAGGAAGAUUCGAGCUUUCUAAUUCUAAUGGUUGAAUUCUGAUGCAGAGGUGAAAAAGCAUUUUGCAGCCGGGAAUGCAGGCAGCAGGAGAUGCUAUUAGAGGAGGGAAUAGAUAAGCUGGACCCUGAAGAUAUCUAUGGAACUUGUUUAUGAAAUCUCUAGCUGUUAAUACUUGCCUUAAAUGGCCACCCAAAAAACUAAACCAACUAUUUCCAUAAGGGUAACUUUGUUCUAGUAAUGUUAUGAUCAUCCAAUUUUUACAUCAAAAUGAAGACAGAUAAGAUUAUGAAUAUUAUUAUUAAGCAUAAUCAAAGAUGGUUCUUGAAUCUGUUUUUCUCUUUUAAUUUCCCUUUUGCUUAAUUUGAGGGACUGAAAGGCUGAAAGCCUGAAACUAUUUGUAGAGUUGGAUUUUUGUUUAAUUUUUAAUUGAUAAUAUUAUUGGGUGAUUGCUGUA